Molecule: ribosomal RNA, 2901 nt
Filed under: Escherichia coli
Lineage: Bacteria; Pseudomonadati; Pseudomonadota; Gammaproteobacteria; Enterobacterales; Enterobacteriaceae
Description: bacterial LSU rRNA
Rfam family: Bacterial large subunit ribosomal RNA
Source: RNAcentral
UUAAGCGACUAAGCGUACACGGUGGAUGCCCUGGCAGUCAGAGGCGAUGAAGGACGUGCUAAUCUGCGAUAAGCGUCGGUAAGGUGAUAUGAACCGUUAUAACCGGCGAUUUCCGAAUGGGGAAACCCAGUGUGUUUCGACACACUAUCAUUAACUGAAUCCAUAGGUUAAUGAGGCGAACCGGGGGAACUGAAACAUCUAAGUACCCCGAGGAAAAGAAAUCAACCGAGAUUCCCCCAGUAGCGGCGAGCGAACGGGGAGCAGCCCAGAGCCUGAAUCAGUGUGUGUGUUAGUGGAAGCGUCUGGAAAGGCGCGCGAUACAGGGUGACAGCCCCGUACACAAAAAUGCACAUGCUGUGAGCUCGAUGAGUAGGGCGGGACACGUGGUAUCCUGUCUGAAUAUGGGGGGACCAUCCUCCAAGGCUAAAUACUCCUGACUGACCGAUAGUGAACCAGUACCGUGAGGGAAAGGCGAAAAGAACCCCGGCGAGGGGAGUGAAAAAGAACCUGAAACCGUGUACGUACAAGCAGUGGGAGCACGCUUAGGCGUGUGACUGCGUACCUUUUGUAUAAUGGGUCAGCGACUUAUAUUCUGUAGCAAGGUUAACCGAAUAGGGGAGCCGAAGGGAAACCGAGUCUUAACUGGGCGUUAAGUUGCAGGGUAUAGACCCGAAACCCGGUGAUCUAGCCAUGGGCAGGUUGAAGGUUGGGUAACACUAACUGGAGGACCGAACCGACUAAUGUUGAAAAAUUAGCGGAUGACUUGUGGCUGGGGGUGAAAGGCCAAUCAAACCGGGAGAUAGCUGGUUCUCCCCGAAAGCUAUUUAGGUAGCGCCUCGUGAAUUCAUCUCCGGGGGUAGAGCACUGUUUCGGCAAGGGGGUCAUCCCGACUUACCAACCCGAUGCAAACUGCGAAUACCGGAGAAUGUUAUCACGGGAGACACACGGCGGGUGCUAACGUCCGUCGUGAAGAGGGAAACAACCCAGACCGCCAGCUAAGGUCCCAAAGUCAUGGUUAAGUGGGAAACGAUGUGGGAAGGCCCAGACAGCCAGGAUGUUGGCUUAGAAGCAGCCAUCAUUUAAAGAAAGCGUAAUAGCUCACUGGUCGAGUCGGCCUGCGCGGAAGAUGUAACGGGGCUAAACCAUGCACCGAAGCUGCGGCAGCGACACUAUGUGUUGUUGGGUAGGGGAGCGUUCUGUAAGCCUGUGAAGGUGUGCUGUGAGGCAUGCUGGAGGUAUCAGAAGUGCGAAUGCUGACAUAAGUAACGAUAAAGCGGGUGAAAAGCCCGCUCGCCGGAAGACCAAGGGUUCCUGUCCAACGUUAAUCGGGGCAGGGUGAGUCGACCCCUAAGGCGAGGCCGAAAGGCGUAGUCGAUGGGAAACAGGUUAAUAUUCCUGUACUUGGUGUUACUGCGAAGGGGGGACGGAGAAGGCUAUGUUGGCCGGGCGACGGUUGUCCCGGUUUAAGCGUGUAGGCUGGUUUUCCAGGCAAAUCCGGAAAAUCAAGGCUGAGGCGUGAUGACGAGGCACUACGGUGCUGAAGCAACAAAUGCCCUGCUUCCAGGAAAAGCCUCUAAGCAUCAGGUAACAUCAAAUCGUACCCCAAACCGACACAGGUGGUCAGGUAGAGAAUACCAAGGCGCUUGAGAGAACUCGGGUGAAGGAACUAGGCAAAAUGGUGCCGUAACUUCGGGAGAAGGCACGCUGAUAUGUAGGUGAAGUCCCUCGCGGAUGGAGCUGAAAUCAGUCGAAGAUACCAGCUGGCUGCAACUGUUUAUUAAAAACACAGCACUGUGCAAACACGAAAGUGGACGUAUACGGUGUGACGCCUGCCCGGUGCCGGAAGGUUAAUUGAUGGGGUCAGCGCAAGCGAAGCUCUUGAUCGAAGCCCCGGUAAACGGCGGCCGUAACUAUAACGGUCCUAAGGUAGCGAAAUUCCUUGUCGGGUAAGUUCCGACCUGCACGAAUGGCGUAAUGAUGGCCAGGCUGUCUCCACCCGAGACUCAGUGAAAUUGAACUCGCUGUGAAGAUGCAGUGUACCCGCGGCAAGACGGAAAGACCCCGUGAACCUUUACUAUAGCUUGACACUGAACAUUGAGCCUUGAUGUGUAGGAUAGGUGGGAGGCUUGGAAGUGUGGACGCCAGUCUGCAUGGAGCCGACCUUGAAAUACCACCCUUUAAUGUUUGAUGUUCUAACGUUGACCCGUAAUCCGGGUUGCGGACAGUGUCUGGUGGGUAGUUUGACUGGGGCGGUCUCCUCCUAAAGAGUAACGGAGGAGCACGAAGGUUGGCUAAUCCUGGUCGGACAUCAGGAGGUUAGUGCAAUGGCAUAAGCCAGCUUGACUGCGAGCGUGACGGCGCGAGCAGGUGCGAAAGCAGGUCAUAGUGAUCCGGUGGUUCUGAAUGGAAGGGCCAUCGCUCAACGGAUAAAAGGUACUCCGGGGAUAACAGGCUGAUACCGCCCAAGAGUUCAUAUCGACGGCGGUGUUUGGCACCUCGAUGUCGGCUCAUCACAUCCUGGGGCUGAAGUAGGUCCCAAGGGUAUGGCUGUUCGCCAUUUAAAGUGGUACGCGAGCUGGGUUUAGAACGUCGUGAGACAGUUCGGUCCCUAUCUGCCGUGGGCGCUGGAGAACUGAGGGGGGCUGCUCCUAGUACGAGAGGACCGGAGUGGACGCAUCACUGGUGUUCGGGUUGUCAUGCCAAUGGCACUGCCCGGUAGCUAAAUGCGGAAGAGAUAAGUGCUGAAAGCAUCUAAGCACGAAACUUGCCCCGAGAUGAGUUCUCCCUGACUCCUUGAGAGUCCUGAAGGAACGUUGAAGACGACGACGUUGAUAGGCCGGGUGUGUAAGCGCAGCGAUGCGUUGAGCUAACCGGUACUAAUGAACCGUGAGGCUUAACCUU